RNAcentral lists this ribosomal RNA (443 nucleotides) under uncultured bacterium. RNAcentral describes it as "partial 16S ribosomal RNA". It matches the Rfam family "Bacterial small subunit ribosomal RNA", at positions 338 to 795 of the family's 1533-position model. The record is from RNAcentral.
CCUACGGGAGGCAGCAGUGGGGAAUAUUGGGCAAUGGAGGCAACUCUGACCCAGCAACGCCGCGUGAAUGAUGAAGGUCUUCGGAUUGUAAAGUUCUUUUCUAAGGGAAGAAGAAAGUGACGGUACCUGAGGAAUAAGCCUCUGCUUACUACGUGCCAGCAGCCGCGGUAAUACGGAGGAGGCAAGCUUUAUCCGGAAAUACUGGGCGAAAAGGGGGCGGAGGUGGUUUGACAAGUUAGUAGCGCAGCUCCGGAGUUAAACUUCGGAACUACUACUAAAACGGUUGGACUCGAGUGCAGGAGGGGCAACCGGAAUUCCUAGGGUAGCGGUGGAAUGCGUAGAUAUUAGGAGGAACACCAGUGGCGAAGGCGGAUUGCUGGAAUGUAACUGACACUGAGGCACGAAAGCGUAGGGAGCAAACAGGAUUAGAUACCCUAGUAGUC